GCCAGCAAUGGUCGAUUGAGUGGUACAGGAGUCAGCCGAGGCCAUAGUAGUGGCAUUGCCAUGAAGGGC
Molecule: non-coding RNA, 69 nt
Filed under: Lacticaseibacillus zeae
Lineage: Bacteria; Bacillati; Bacillota; Bacilli; Lactobacillales; Lactobacillaceae
Source: RNAcentral